This is an RNA transcript of Salvelinus fontinalis (brook trout), 5149 nucleotides long. RefSeq lists it as uncharacterized. Lineage: Eukaryota; Metazoa; Chordata; Actinopteri; Salmoniformes; Salmonidae. The record is from RefSeq and is a predicted model, not a curated record. The transcript has 9 exons.
CACAAAAGAAGACGGCAACGCAAGCAAUUCUGCAAGUCGAGACGAGUUUGUUUUCGACUGAAUGCCGAACUACCAGUCCUCUGAAAAUGGCUAAACUACAGUCUUUGAUUGUGUUUGUUAAUGAACGUUUAGCAGUGGCUGCAGUGGAGAUUUUAGACGUUGUAGAGAAAGUGGUCGCCGAGUACCAGGAGGAGAUUUCCAGAUCUGAAGAGGAGAAUGACCGGCUACGGAGACUAAUGCGGAUCACACCAGAAAUAAAACUACGUAGAAUAGACUCCCUCCACUUCUCUCUCGCUGUCUCUGAGGAGGAGGUUAUCCCUGAGCAGCAGCACUGUAAGCAGGAAUGGAGCCCCAGUCUGGAGGACCCAGCUCCCAUUCAGGUUAAAAAGGAACAGGAGGAUCUCAGGACCAGUCAGGAGGUUGGGAAGAUUCAAGGGCUAGAGGCUGACACCGUAUAGUUCAUAUACACUCCUCCCUGUGUGAAAAGUGAAUGUGAUCAGGAGGAUCAACUUCAGUCCUUGACUCUUCCCCAAACGGGGAAGCACAGAGAGAGUGACCCUAAACCAGUGAUUGUCAAUCCACUGAAGAUGUCUAAACAGUCUUUGAGUGUGUUCGCUAGUGAGCGUUUAACUGUGGCUGCAGUAGAGAUUUUGGGAGUAAUAGAGAAAGUGGUAGAGGAGUACCAGGUGGAGAUUUCCCAAUUUAAAGAGGAGAAUGACCGGCGAGGGAGACUGCUGCGGAUCACACCCGGAAUAAAACGAUGUAGAAUAGACCCCCUCCAGUUCUCUCCCGCUUUCUCUGAGGAAGAGGGCCCCACCCCCGAGCAGCAACACUGUGAGCAGGAGUGGAGCCCCUGUCUGGGGCAGGAGGACACAGCGCCCACACAGAUUAAAGAGGAACAGGAGGAAAUCAGGACCAGUCAGGACGUAGGGCAGCUUCAGGAACAGGAGGCUGACAUCAUAGAGUUCAUAUUCACUCCUCCUUGUGUGAAAAGGGAAUGUGAUCAGGAGGAUCAACUUCAGUCCUUGACUCUUCCCCAAACGGUGGAGUACAGAGGGACUGACUCUAAACCAGUGAAUCUCAAACCUUUUGUCACUGUGACCCACCUUGACAAUCCCUGUGACCCUCCAGAUAAUCAAGACAAUGCCUCCUGCCACAGAUCAGCCGCAAGCAGCGAUCCAGUAGGACUUGACAUCAGCCGACCAUUGGAUCCCAACCCACCAUUGAAGAAACCCAGCACCACGUCUAAAAAACCUCUCACCGGGAAAAGAUUGAAUUGCAAGGGGAUCCUAAGCAGGCACAUACAGACUCAUACAGGAGAGAAACCCUUUAGCUGUGGUAACUGUGAGAAAAGCUUCAAUCGCAAGGGGACCCUAAAUGAGCAUAUAAAGACUCAUACAGGAGAGACACCAUUUAGCUGUGAUGUCUGCGGGAAGAGCUUCAGACACAAGAAGAACCUAACUGAGCAUAUCCGGAGUCACACCGGAGUGAAACCAUUUAGCUGUGGGACAAGCUUCAAUCAAAAGGUUUCUCUUAAAAGGCAUGUACUGACUCACACAGGGGAGAAGUCGUUUGUUUGUGGGAACUGUGGGAAAAGCUUUAGACACAAGGGGACCCUAACUGCGCAUCUACUGACUCAUACAGGAGAGAAACCAUUUAGCUGUGGUGACUGCGGGAAAAGCUUCAGACAGAAGGUUACCCUUAACAGGCAUAUAUGGGCUCAUACAGGGGAGAAACCAUUUAGCUGUUGCGACUGUGGGAAAAGUUUCAAGCAUAAGGGAGACCUAACCAAACAUGCACUGAUUCACACAGGAGAGAAGCCAUUUAGCUGUGAUGACUGCGGGAAAAGUUUCAACAAGAAGGGGAACCUAACUGUUUAUUUACUGACACACACAGGAGAAAAAACUUUUAAUUGUGUUGACUGCGGGAAAAGCUUCAGACUCCUAGAAAACUCCCAGAAAACCUACCUGUGCAUUUGCAGACUCACAAAGGUACAGGAGAGAAACCAUUUCGCAGUGGUGACUGUGGGAUAAGCCUCAGACACUAAUUGAACCUGGACAGUAAUAUAUAGAACAUCAACAAAGAAAGAAAACAGUGAAAAAUUUGGAUAAAAUAAAGGCAAGGAAGACAGAGAUCAUGGGAGUAUCAGGAGAUGGGAAUAAGAAGGCUGGAUAUGGACAACUCUGUUAGGAAAGCAAAGCAACUCUGGAUCAUUCAUGUUGUAGGUUUAAGAUAAAUAUACUGUAUGUGUGAUUCAUUUAGUUUUAUAAAAUGAGUGAGAUUUAGUUUCAUGGUCAAAGAGUACAGAGUAUUGUAGGAAACCAGUCCUGGGGCCUGUUGCACAAAAGUAGAAUUAAGACAUCCGGGAUAAAUGACUCAGCUGAGCUCAAUGAAGCCAAAACAUGUGCGUCCAGGCUUAAUUGGUUGCACAAAGACCAAGCCAGGAUGAGCAGACACGGAUUCAUUAAGCCAGGUGAAACCAAUCCUGGAUAGGUGCGCGCUCACGGCUCACUCAAAUAGACCCCGCCACAGAUCACAGAUUAACUGAUUUACCAUGGCAACUAGAGCCGCGUACUUUUCCCCGUCGGAAGCACAAAUCCUCAUGGAGGCAUACGAGGAGGUAAAAGAUAUAAUUAAGAAGAAAGGCAACACCGCCACAGUGAUAAAGCAAAGAGAAAAAGCGUGGCAAAGUAUUGCAGACCGCCUGAAUGCGUAAGUAGUGCACAAUUACACAGUCACCGCUCCGCUGAAACAUCACAAUUACAAUUCAAAUAUUUAAUUCACAUCUCCAAAAAUGCAGUUGUACUGUAAUUAUGAAACGGUUAAAUUUUUAAUUGAAAUGCACUGCAGAUAUGAGUGAAAUUGUGUAAAGUAACUCCAUCACACUGUAUAAAGCUAUGAUACAUUUUUUGAUAUUUUUACUGAAAACAAGACAAAAAUACCAAGUAAUUUUUUGCAGUGUGACUCCAUUAAGUGUGUGUGUGUGUAGAUUAAACAUGAACGGGCCAAAACGGACAUGGCAGCAGGUCAAAAUCAAAUACAAGAACAUUCUGCAGAAUGCAGUGAAAAAGAAUACCCACAGACAAGGCACGGGUGGUGGGUCACCAAAGGCUGACCUUACCCCAGCAGAGGACAUGGCCUUGGAGCUAAAUAAAGGCAGGCCCGUCUUAGAGGGGAUCCCUGGGGGGAAAGAGACGAGCAUAGGUUCCUCCCAAGAUGCCACCCGCUUCAUUCAAGUGUCUGGCAGCACUGUGUUCCUGUUAGAGCCACCAGCACAAGCACCAGACGAUGCUGAUCCAGGUGAAGGCCCCAGUGCAGCAGCAACAGCACAUGAUGGAGACGAUGAUGAUGAGGAGGAGACCAUCUCUCUGGAUUCCAGAAGGCAUGAGGACCCAGAUGCUAUACAGUGGGAAAACCAGCCUGGCAACAUAGUGCGUAUUAAUAAAAGGACACCACAUCCUGCCAAAUUCCAGCUGCGCUAAUUGUAUUGUGUUCACAGAGCUCACAAGCUAUCAGAAAGUUGUAUGGCAACCACCUCCGGCGCCAAAUAGAACUGGCAGACAUAGACAUUCAGUACAAGAAGAAAAAGAUGGAAAAUCUUGCACUGGAGUCCGAAAUAAAAAAGAGGACAAUUAGGAAACUGGACCUUGAAAUAAAAAAAACUUGAGAGGGAGCUCCAAGAAGAUGACACAGCUCAAAAUAAAAAUUAGCAAUCAGUACAACCAAGUCAUCGUUAUAAGGCAUCGCCCUCUUUUGCCCACCCCCCCAGCACCAGGUGUGGCCACUAGCCUAUAUGAAGGCCCAAAAUUGUGUGUUCCUUUCUGCUCUGACAAUGGCAUGCCCAUUCGUGCGAGAUGUGGUGGAUGAAGAAGCACUUGUGCUGAGGAGAGCCUUCAGGCGAGAAAGGGUCUUCAGGGACCGGUUGGACCCACUGGCCUUCCCUGAUGACCAUCUAUAUGAAAGAUACAGGUUUUCUGCAGAUGGCAUCAGGUAUCUAUGCAGACUACUGGGUCCCAGGAUUAAGCACCGCACUGCACGGAGCCAUGCACUGAGUGUGGAGCAAAUGGUUUGUGUGGCCUUGCGCUUUUUUGCUAGUGGAGCCUUCCUGUACUCAGUGGGGGAUGCAGAACAGCUGAACAAGGCCACAAUUUGCCGCACAAUAAGGAGUGUGUGUCUGGCUAUCAAAGCAUUAGCAGAUGUCUUCAUCUCCUUCCCUGGCCACAGAAGACUCUGUGACAUCAAAGAGGAGUUCUAUAGGAUUGCAGAUGGUCUGCAAUGCUGACUGUGAUCAGCAAUGUUGUGGCAAAAUGGCCUGGCUCAGUCCAUGACUCCAGAAUCUUUCGGGCCUCUGAAAUCUAUCAGUGCCUAUCACAAGGUGAAUUCUCUGGUGUGUUGCUGGGAGACAGGGGGUAUGGCUGCCAGCCUUUUCUCCUGACACCUUUCACAGACCCCCAGGAAGCACAGCAGGCCUACAACCAUGCCCAUGCCAGGACCAGGGCCAGAGUUGAAAUGACCUUUGGCCUCCUGAAGGCACGCUUUCACUGCCUUCACAAAUUAAGGGUCAGCCCUGUUAGGGCAUGUGAUAUUACUGUGGCUUGUGCUGUCCUCCACAAUGUGGCCUGCCUGAGGAAGGAGAGGGCCCCCAGAGUGCCACCAGCCAUGGACUGGGACAAUCCGGCAAUCUUCCCUGAUGACGACAGUGGUCGGCUGCUGAGGGACCAAUAUGUGUUGAAUUAUUUUAGUUAGUAUGUGUGCUUUCAAUUUUGGUUAAAUAUGUCCUGCGGUGGCAGAGGAAUUUGGGUUUUUUUGGGUUCGUUUUUUUUACGAAUUUGGCCUCUUAUGAUGUUUGUGCGGUAUACUGUGUGUAAUACAAGGCUGCAGGGAGGCUACUGCAUCCAUUCAUUUGUCUGUUCAGUUGAUGUGUAUGGAUUUGUCCUGCAUUUAUUUUAGUGUGCAGACAUGCAGGGUGUGUUAUAUACAGACCUUUGAAUGUGUAUGUAUCAUUUUGUAUAAUAUGCUUGGAUUCUGUGCUUUCCAUCUUGUAGAGUCACUGUGACUUCAGUUUUGAAAGGAGCUGAUGGUUUACCUGCUUUGUUUUGUCCUUAUUCAAUAAAGGAACAUAAUGUUACACAUUGUGUUUUUAUAUUCA